AUUGAACGCUGGCGGCAUGCUUUACACAUGCAAGUCGAACGGCAGCGCGGGCUUCGGCCUGGCGGCGAGUGGCGAACGGGUGAGUAAUACAUCGGAACGUGCCCAGUAGUGGGGGAUAGCUCGGCGAAAGCCGGAUUAAUACCGCAUACGACCUGAGGGUGAAAGCGGGGGAUCUUCGGACCUCGCGCUAUUGGAGCGGCCGAUGGCAGAUUAGCUAGUUGGUGGGGUAAAGGCCUACCAAGGCGACGAUCUGUAGCUGGUCUGAGAGGACGACCAGCCACACUGGGACUGAGACACGGCCCAGACUCCUACGGGAGGCAGCAGUGGGGAAUUUUGGACAAGGGGCGAAAGCCUGAUCCAGCAAUGCCGCGUGUGUGAUGAAGGCCUUCGGGUUGUAAAGCACUUUUGGCGGGAACGAAAAGGACUGUGCCAAUACCACGGUUCGAUGACGGUACCCGCAGAAUAAGCACCGGCUAACUACG
RNAcentral lists this ribosomal RNA (482 nucleotides) under uncultured bacterium. RNAcentral's name for it is "partial 16S ribosomal RNA". It matches the Rfam family "Bacterial small subunit ribosomal RNA", at positions 29 to 505 of the family's 1533-position model. The record is from RNAcentral.